Non-coding RNA from Poecilia reticulata (guppy), 1307 nucleotides. Lineage: Eukaryota; Metazoa; Chordata; Actinopteri; Cyprinodontiformes; Poeciliidae. The record is from RefSeq and is a predicted model, not a curated record.
UAUGUUUUAGCCAAAACUCCUCAGUUUUAGUUUCACCCACUUCAAAUUUAUUUCACUUCUGCUCAAACGGAGCUUUAGUUCAUCUGGACGUCUAAAACGUCACAUUUAUUACUGCUUAUUGUGAAAAUAAGAAUCAAACUGUUUGAGGAGAGCUUCGCGUUUCUUUAGAAGCAGGAAGCCGGACAGCAGAUGGACGUAAAAAGGUUUUAAAGUCGCUCUGACCUCAGGGUCUCAUUCUGAACACACGACUGAAUCCGGCUCCACUUUAAAUGUUUUUCUCCAUGAGGAGAAUAAAAUACUUUAAAAAUGAAAUCUAUGAUAUUUUCGUACCAGAUGCAGGUUACAAUUUUAACCAAUUUGCUGGAAAUUAAAAAAAGAGCUUUUAUUUUAUGAGAAUGUUUGUCUAAAUAUGAGAAAAUAGUCGUAAUAUUAUCAGAAUAAAGACGCAAUAUAUUAAAAUUAAGAGAAAAAAAUGUUUUUAUCAGGAUCUGACAUGAUCAGCUCAGUUCAUCAGCUGAUUGAACGAUAGUUUCAAAGUUCUGCUUCUGGUAAUAAUUUGAUGCUGAUGUGCUAAAAGAUGAGGUAAAACUUAAACCAAAGUAAAUUUUUUAUUUCUCAUGUUGCAUCUCUCAUAAAAAUACAACUUUAUUCUUGUAAUUAAAAUAAAAACCUUAGCUUGGUGCUAAUACUCAGAUUAUUGAGAUUUGACCUGAAUACUACUGCAAACACGCUUUUCAAACAAGAUGGCGCUGAUUUCACUCUGAACUAUGAAAACCUGAGGGAAAAAUCCGUAUUUUCCAAAAAUGUAAUCUUCACAAACCAAAAGCUCGAUUAAUCGAUCAAAUCCAAAUCGCCCAGCCCAACCAGGAAGUGGAUCUGGGUUGAUUUGACCCGUUAGUUCAUCCUGGAUGCGUCUUGCUCAGGAUGCGGAGAAGUUUCCCAGCUGAAGCUUUAAUUUCAGCGUUUUUCCUCCCACCUCCUCGGCUCGGUUUCUCUUUCCGCCUCCCACUCCUCCUUCCCUCCCAGCGUCUCGCAGAGAGCCGGUUGCUAUGCGAACAGGUGCUAAAAGAGCCUCUUGUGCUUCUGCGCGUCCAAACUGAGCGCAAGCGGGACAAACGUGCAGCUCGGAGGGUCGACGAAGGCGAUGAAGAGGAGGAGGAGGAGGAGGAGUGAAGGUAUUUUCCAGGUGAGCCACUUGUUCCCACCCUAAGCUGUGAUCUGUGUGCCAGAGUCAACCAGGAAGUGAUGUCACCAGACCGGAUCGUCGGAUCGCUGGAUCGCCGGAUUAUCGGAUUGCUGGAUCGCCG